UUGCCUACGGGACGCAGCAGUAGGGAAUUUUCGUCAAUGGGCGCAAGCCUGAACGAGCAAUGCCGCGUGAACGAGGAAGGUCUUCGGAUCGUAAAGUUCUGUUGAAGGGGAAAAAGAGCGGAGAGAGGAAAUGCUUUCUGAUUGAUAUUACCCUUCGAGGAAGUCACGGCUAACUACGUGCCAGCAGCCGCGGUAAUACGUAGGUGGCGAGCGUUAUCCGGAAUUAUUGGGUGUAAAGGGUGCGUAGACGGAAGAACAAGUUGGUUGUGAAAUCCCUCGGCUCAACUGAGGAACUGCAACCAAAA
Molecule: ribosomal RNA, 305 nt
Filed under: uncultured bacterium
Lineage: Bacteria
Description: bacterial SSU rRNA
Rfam family: Bacterial small subunit ribosomal RNA
Source: RNAcentral